GGAAAAGCGAUCUGCCAAUCGACUAACAGAAAUUGCCUUUCCCGCCUGACACAUAAGGGAGGUGUUUAACAAGACCAGAAGCAGUUCAGACACUCUUUCUCAGUCCCUUGUGGAUCCGAACAGCACUGGUGGAGUCUGAUAAUGACAGGCGUGGUUAAUGAACAGGAAAGUCUCUGUUCUCUAAGAGCUUUCGUUUACAGCUCCGCGAGGCACAGUGAGAUGAGUGGAGGGGGGGGUCAAGCAAGCAAGAAAUAGAUCAGCCCUCGCUACAUCUUCCUUCCUUACAAUGUAAUUUACCACGA
Callorhinchus milii (elephant shark) is the source of this 302-nucleotide long non-coding RNA. RefSeq lists it as uncharacterized. The transcript is spliced from 3 exons. The record is from RefSeq and is a predicted model, not a curated record. NCBI's taxonomy places the organism in Eukaryota, Metazoa, Chordata, Chondrichthyes, Chimaeriformes, Callorhinchidae.